Molecule: ribosomal RNA, 390 nt
Filed under: Triticum aestivum (bread wheat)
Lineage: Eukaryota; Viridiplantae; Streptophyta; Magnoliopsida; Poales; Poaceae
Description: partial small subunit ribosomal RNA
Source: RNAcentral
AUGACGGAUGCAAGGAACAAAUUUGCACAACCGGAUGAAGACACCCCCUUUGGACGACACUUGAAGGAAGUCACUAGGUACCUGAACAUCGAAAUACCAAGCUUCACUGGAACCUACAACGCCACUUUACCAGAAGAGGAGCGUUGGAUGAUCCAAGUUCAAGUUCUAGGAAGGACGUUCAUGCCAGUCACCGAGCCCAUAGAGUUCUCCUUUGACGCACCCACCUGGAGUCUAGGCAAGAGCAUGGCCGCCCACAUCACCAUGGGACGCAUUGGAGAAGUUUACCAUAUGGAUCUCAAGGAUACUAUUUACCAGAUUUGUGGGUGCCGAGAUGAACAAUGGGAGAUGAUCAACACCAGGAAGGAUAGAUCUAUUGCCGCUUUCAUCUAG